CCUCCUCUCUUCCCUCCCCUCUCACAGCAGUCUUCAGCACCGCCCCUCCCCUGAGUCCCCUCUCAUCAAUGCUGGAUUCAAGACCAGGAACAUCCUCAGCCGUUGUGCCCCUGCGGAGGCAAAGCCUAGGUGUGACUAGCAGGCCACCACUUCAGGCAUCACCCCCACGCCGCAUAUCGUUGGUUUCACCCGUGCCCCCACAACAACUGCUGUACAGUCCCCCACGCAUGCCCCCACAAUCACCACAUUUGCCAGCAGACACCAGUCAACAUGAAAGUGACACACAACAGCAACAAACUGAGGACACAUUUACCCUUCAACUUACAUCAAUACCACCACCAUACGCAACACCCACAGAUUUACCAACCCAAACAUAACCACAAACACCUGAGCAAGACAUAAGGCCAAGCAUAGCCACGACGCAGUCUUCAGACCAGGCAUUUUGGACCACCUGGGCCACAUAGCUCGGCCACACCGCUGAAAGUCUGCAAAAAAACACACAAGCUGUAAGGAGUAUAGCCCAUCACAUGCCCCACCUAUGCAGAAGCAACAGCCACCAAACAUACGGAGCUCACCAGAUUGGCCAAUACCAAAAAUACAGAAAAUGAACUGUCCCAAGGCGCAAAACAAACUUAUACAGCUAAAUACAAACAAAGGGACCACCAAUGCCCUGAAAUGGAGACAA
This is a long non-coding RNA of Pseudophryne corroboree (corroboree frog), 685 nucleotides long. RefSeq lists it as uncharacterized. NCBI's taxonomy places the organism in Eukaryota, Metazoa, Chordata, Amphibia, Anura, Myobatrachidae. The transcript is spliced from 3 exons. The record is from RefSeq and is a predicted model, not a curated record.